RNAcentral lists this unclassified non-coding RNA (163 nucleotides) under Fusarium concentricum. RNAcentral describes it as "partial internal transcribed spacer 2". The record is from RNAcentral. Lineage: Eukaryota; Fungi; Ascomycota; Sordariomycetes; Hypocreales; Nectriaceae.
CAACCCUCAAGCCCUCGGGUUUGGUGUUGGGGAUCGGCGAGCCCUUGCGGCAAGCCGGCCCCGAAAUCUAGUGGCGGUCUCGCUGCAGCCUCCAUUGCGUAGUAGUAAAACCCUCGCAACUGGAACGCGGCGCGGCCAAGCCGUUAAACCCCCAACUUCUGAA